RNAcentral lists this transfer RNA (71 nucleotides) under Felis catus (domestic cat). It matches the Rfam family "tRNA". From Rfam's summary of the family: Transfer RNA (tRNA) molecules are approximately 80 nucleotides in length. Their secondary structure includes four short double-helical elements and three loops (D, anti-codon, and T loops). Further hydrogen bonds mediate the characteristic L-shaped molecular structure. tRNAs have two regions of fundamental functional importance: the anti-codon, which is responsible for specific mRNA codon recognition, and the 3' end, to which the tRNAs corresponding amino acid is attached (by aminoacyl-tRNA synthetases). tRNAs cope with the degeneracy of the genetic code in two manners: having more than one tRNA (with a specific anti-codon) for a particular amino acid; and 'wobble' base-pairing, i.e. permitting non-standard base-pairing at the 3rd anti-codon position. Lineage: Eukaryota; Metazoa; Chordata; Mammalia; Carnivora; Felidae. RNAcentral also lists the same sequence under 2 other names. The record is from Rfam by way of RNAcentral.
GCCUGACUGGCUCAGUCGGUGGAGCCUGUGACUCUUGAUCUCAGGGUGGUGGGUUUGAGUCCCACGUUGCA